Molecule: ribosomal RNA, 104 nt
Filed under: Sobralia powellii
Lineage: Eukaryota; Viridiplantae; Streptophyta; Magnoliopsida; Asparagales; Orchidaceae
Also listed under: 27 other names
Description: 5.8S ribosomal RNA
Rfam family: 5.8S ribosomal RNA
About the family: 5.8S ribosomal RNA (5.8S rRNA) is a component of the large subunit of the eukaryotic ribosome.
Source: RNAcentral
AAUAUGACUCUCGGCAAUGGAUAUCUCGGCUCUCGCAUCGAUGAAGAGCGCAGCGAAAUGCGAUACAUGGUGCGAAUUGCAGAAUCCCGUGAACCAUCGAGUCU